RNAcentral lists this ribosomal RNA (386 nucleotides) under uncultured bacterium. RNAcentral describes it as "bacterial SSU rRNA". It matches the Rfam family "Bacterial small subunit ribosomal RNA", at positions 28 to 416 of the family's 1533-position model. The record is from RNAcentral.
GACGAACGCUGGCGGCGUGCUUAACACAUGCAAGUCGAACGGUGACGGAGAGCUUGCUCUCCUGAUCAGUGGCGAACGGGUGAGUAACACGUGGGCAACCUGCCCAGACUUCGGGAUAACGUUUCGAAAGAGGUGCUAAUACCGAAUACGAACGCCGUGGGCAUCCACGGUGUUGGAAAGUUUUUCGGUCUGGGAUGGGCCCGCGGCCUAUCAGCUUGUUGGUGAGGUAAUGGCUCACCAAGGCGACGACGGGUAGCCGGCCUGAGAGGGCGACCGGCCACACUGGGACUGAGACACGGCCCAGACUCCUACGGGAGGCAGCAGUGGGGAAUAUUGCGCAAUGGGCGAAAGCCUGACGCAGCAACGCCGCGUGGGGGAUGAAGGCC